AUGGGAAGACUCCACCUUGGCGGGAUGUGCAGGUGAAGUGCUCCAGCUCUGAGGACGAAUCCUGGAAGAGAAAACCUGAUCCCAGGGCAUGAAGAAGGAGGAAAAGGAUGCAGGAAAGAAUUUAAGAGGCAAAGUGGAUGUGAUAAAGGAACGAGAAGAUCAUGAGAAAAGAUGAAAAAGAGAACAGUGACUGACCCAUGUCAUGAAGCAUCAGUUUCUAAACUUUGCUGUAUGCAGGCUCAAUGACUCUCCAAGAUAUGCAGAGCUUUGGGCCAGGAUCCUACAGCCACGGGUCAUGCAGAGCCAGUUGGCCACAUCCUUUGGGCCAAAUUUGGUCCUAACCAGGUCUUACCACGGUAACUGCUAACCAGUCCAUCUUCAGUUAAUAUUUCAUGCGUAAGAUGUUUCAUGAAGUAACUGAAUGGGCUAAUGGGUUGUUCACUGGAUAAGACUCCCAGAUACUCCCUUUCAUGCCAUUCCCCAGAAUUCCUUCACCUCCCAGUGCUGUCUGUAAGGGUGAAGAUACUCCAUUUUGCCCCAUGCUCUUUGCUGUGCCCCAGAUAGGCUCAAACAUUUUUCCCUUUUGGGGAUUUUGCAGGUAGGAAUUGUUGAACAUCUUACCAUUUAAUCCAGAAGUUAUGUCCUUUAAGGAAUCGACCCUGAGCCUGUGAGUUUUACUUUGGGUUGGGGGUGAAGGAGUGGACCUUGCAGCAUUCAAGGUCAUCCAAGAUCAUCCAGUUAAGGCCCCUAAGGUCACUACGGGGGGAAAAGCCUGGUGAGGGAAGAGAAAGCAUUAGGGGGAGCUGCACCGUGCUGAGAAAUAACACCACACAGAAGUCUGUGUUCUAAUCUCAGCUCUGCUUUGCAUUACUGUGUGACCUGGAGCUGAUCACAGCCCUCUGAGUCUUAAAGGGGUUGGACAAGGCCAACUAAACAUUAGAAACACCUGAAAGUGCUGGUUAAAAGGAAGAAUGCAUGAGCUUCACUCCAGAUUUACUAUAUCAGAAUUUCCAGGGUCAGGGUCCAAGAAUCUGCAUGUUUAAUACGCUUUCCACAUGAUUUUUCCCCCCUCUGGACUUAAGAAAACAAUGGGCAAGUCAGCUCAUGAAGAACUUUUCAGAUAUUCAGACUAUUAUUCUGAGAGAGAAAAUAUUGGCAGAGAACAGAUGGGAUUUUUCUCAAGGAAAAGAAAUGGAAAUCCUACAUCUUGCAAGAAAUAGAAAAAAAUAAAUAAACUGUUUGAAGAAGAAUCACAUCAGGCUGGCAGGAGAGAGCCUGCGGCUCGGUGUCUGACCCAGAAUGUUAAAGCCAGCCUGGCUUGGCUCCAGGAUAAAGGACACUCUGUCAGCCUCUCCACAUUGAUUCAUCUCCCCAGCCCCAAGAUCAGGAGAGCAUUCUGUUCCUUGAAGCAUUUUAUGACUGUAAGUCAGAAGUGCUGCAGUUUUAAUAAAAAGCUGUAUUGUCCUGA
RNAcentral lists this long non-coding RNA (1468 nucleotides) under Homo sapiens (human). RNAcentral describes it as "HSALNT0384419". The record is from RNAcentral. Lineage: Eukaryota; Metazoa; Chordata; Mammalia; Primates; Hominidae.